GCAGCAGUGGGGAAUUUUGGACAAUGGGCGAAAGCGUGAUCCAGCCAUGCGGCGUGCAGGAUGAAGGCCUUUGGGUUGUAAAUUGCUUUUGUACGGAAGGAAAAGACUUUGUUUAAUACAGGGGGUCCAUGCCGGUUCGGUAAGAAUAAGCCCGGGUUAAUUACGUGCCAGCAGCCGCGGUAAUAGGUAGGGUGCAAGGGUUAUUGGGAAUUAUUGGGGGUAAAGCGUGGGCAGGGGGUUAUAUAAUCCAGAUGUGAAAUCCCGGGGUUCAACCUGGGAAUUCCAUUUGUGACUGUAUAGCUAGAGUACGGCAGAGGGGGAUGGAAUUCGGCGUGUAGCAGUGAAAUGGGUAGAUAUGGGGAGGAACACAGAUGGGGAAGGCAAUCCCCGGGCCCUGUACUGACGUUCAUGCAGGAAAGCGUGGGGAGCAAACAGGAUUAGAUACCCUGGUAGUCCACCCCUUAAAGGAUGUCAACUGGUUGCUGGGUCUCCACUGACUCAGUAACGCAGCUAACGCGUGA
This 521-nucleotide ribosomal RNA is filed under the name uncultured bacterium. Its description in RNAcentral is "bacterial SSU rRNA". It matches the Rfam family "Bacterial small subunit ribosomal RNA", at positions 348 to 862 of the family's 1533-position model. The record is from RNAcentral.